RNAcentral lists this long non-coding RNA (265 nucleotides) under Carica papaya (papaya). RNAcentral describes it as "long non-coding RNA (CPAP_LNC009478)". The record is from RNAcentral. Lineage: Eukaryota; Viridiplantae; Streptophyta; Magnoliopsida; Brassicales; Caricaceae.
AAGAAUGCAUUCAUGAAAACUUCCCAUGUGGUAGGGGUAGGCAAGACUUCCUUUUUAAGUCGCCACCAGUGUUCUGUUUUGCCGUUUAGCAUGAAGGUUGUAAGGAGAACUUUUUAUUCCUUGAUCAGGUCUAGGACAAAAAAGAGCUUCUCUAUCUGUAGGAUCUAGGCUUCGGCUACUAAAGGAUUAGGCCACCUUCAAAGUCUGGGGGGUUAAAUUUACUAAACUCUGUUAUGUUAUAGGAAAUGAAUUUUUUGAUGUUUCG